GAUAAAAAAAUAACACGGAUAUGUUAGGUUUUUUCCUGAGGGUCAAUUAAGUUUCUAGCGAGUUGGUUAGUUUCUUUUCGUCCGGUUCAAUGAACUUCUCGCGAGUUGGUUAGUUUCUUUUCGUCCGAUACAAAGAAAUUCUAGCGCGUGAGAAGUUCAUUGAACCUUAUCAUUUAGAGGAAGGAGAAGUCGUAACAAGGUUUCCGUAGGUGAACUUGCGGAAGGAUCAUUG
Molecule: ribosomal RNA, 232 nt
Filed under: Swertia chirayita
Lineage: Eukaryota; Viridiplantae; Streptophyta; Magnoliopsida; Gentianales; Gentianaceae
Description: partial 18S ribosomal RNA
Rfam family: Eukaryotic small subunit ribosomal RNA
Source: RNAcentral